This 1239-nucleotide ribosomal RNA is filed under the name Chryseobacterium sp. RNAcentral's name for it is "bacterial SSU rRNA". It matches the Rfam family "Bacterial small subunit ribosomal RNA", at positions 78 to 1325 of the family's 1533-position model. The record is from RNAcentral. Lineage: Bacteria; Pseudomonadati; Bacteroidota; Flavobacteriia; Flavobacteriales; Weeksellaceae.
CUUCGGAAUCUUGAGAGCGGCGCACGGGUGCGGAACACGUGUGCAACCUACCUUUAUCAGGGGGAUAGCCUUUCGAAAGGAAGAUUAAUACCCCAUAAUAUAUUGAAUGGCAUCAUUUAAUAUUGAAAACUCCGGUGGAUAGAGAUGGGCACGCGCAAGAUUAGAUAGUUGGUGAGGUAACGGCUCACCAAGUCAAUGAUCUUUAGGGGGCCUGAGAGGGUGAUCCCCCACACUGGUACUGAGACACGGACCAGACUCCUACGGGAGGCAGCAGUGAGGAAUAUUGGACAAUGGGUGAGAGCCUGAUCCAGCCAUCCCGCGUGAAGGACGACGGCCCUAUGGGUUGUAAACUUCUUUUGUAUAGGGAUAAACCUUUCCACGUGUGGAAAGCUGAAGGUACUAUACGAAUAAGCACCGGCUAACUCCGUGCCAGCAGCCGCGGUAAUACGGAGGGUGCAAGCGUUAUCCGGAUUUAUUGGGUUUAAAGGGUCCGUAGGCGGACUCGUAAGUCAGUGGUGAAAUCUCAUAGCUUAACUAUGAAACUGCCAUUGAUACUGCGGGUCUUGAGUAAGGUAGAGGUAGCUGGAAUAAGUAGUGUAGCGGUGAAAUGCAUAGAUAUUACUUAGAACACCAAUUGCGAAGGCAGGUUACCAUGUCUUAACUGACGCUGAUGGACGAAAGCGUGGGGAGCGAACAGGAUUAGAUAACCCUGGUAGUCCACGCCGUAAACGAUGCUAACUCGUUUUUGGGUCUUCGGAUUCAGAGACUAAGCGAAAGUGAUAAGUUAGCCACCUGGGGAGUACGAACGCAAGUUUGAAACUCAAAGGAAUUGACGGGGGCCCGCACAAGCGGUGGAUUAUGUGGUUUAAUUCGAUGAUACGCGAGGAACCUUACCAAGGCUUAAAUGGGAAUUGAUCGGUUUAGAAAUAGACCUUCCUUCGGGCAAUUUUCAAGGUGCUGCAUGGUUGUCGUCAGCUCGUGCCGUGAGGUGUUAGGUUAAGUCCUGCAACGAGCGCAACCCCUGUCACUAGUUGCUAACAUUCAGUUGAGGACUCUAGUGAGACUGCCUACGCAAGUAGAGAGGAAGGUGGGGAUGACGUCAAAUCAUCACGGCCCUUACGCCUUGGGCCUCGCACGUAAUACAAUGGCCGGUACAGAGGGCAGCUACACAGCGAUGUGAUGCAAAUCUCGAAAGCCGGUCUCAGUUCGGAUUGGAGUCUGCAACUCGACUCUAUGAAG